AUACGGAGGGUCCGAGCGUUAUCCGGAAUUAUUGGGUUUAAAGGGUCCGCAGGCGGGCCAGUAAGUCAGGGGUGAAAGUUUGCGGCUUAACCGUAAAAUUGCCUUUGAUACUGCUGGUCUUGAGUUGCGGUGAAGUGGCCGGAAUAUGUGGUGUAGCGGUGAAAUGCAUAGAUAUCACAUAGAACACCGAUUGCGAAGGCAGGUCACUAACCGCCGACUGACGCUGAUGGACGAAAGCGUGGGGAGCGAACGGGAUUAGAUACCCCGGUAGUCCACGCCGUAAACGAUGGACACUAGCUGUCGGGCCUUUAUUGGUUCGGCGGCCCAGCGAAAGUGAUAAGUGUCCCACCUGGGGAGUACGUCGGCAACGAUGAA
Molecule: ribosomal RNA, 375 nt
Filed under: uncultured bacterium
Lineage: Bacteria
Description: bacterial SSU rRNA
Rfam family: Bacterial small subunit ribosomal RNA
Source: RNAcentral